RNAcentral lists this ribosomal RNA (424 nucleotides) under uncultured Thermoplasmatales archaeon. RNAcentral describes it as "bacterial SSU rRNA". It matches the Rfam family "Archaeal small subunit ribosomal RNA", at positions 322 to 747 of the family's 1478-position model. The record is from RNAcentral. Lineage: Archaea; Methanobacteriati; Thermoplasmatota; Thermoplasmata; Thermoplasmatales.
CCUACGGGGGGCAGCAGUCGCGAAAACUUCACACUGGGGGCAACCCCGAUGAGGGAAUUCCUAGUGCUAGGACAUUUGUUCUAGCUUUUCUCUAGCGUAGAUAACUAGAGGAAUAAGGGCUGGGUAAGACGGGUGCCAGCCGCCGCGGUAAUACCUGCAGCCCAAGUGGUGGUCGAUUUUAUUGAGUCUAAAGCGUUCGUAGCCGGUUUGAUAAAUCCUUGGGUAAAUCGGGAAGCUUAACUUUCCGACUUCCGAGGAGACUGUCAAACUUGGGACCGGGAGAGGCUAGAGGUACUUCUGGGGUAGGGGUAAAAUCCUGUAAUCCUAGAAGGACCACCGGUGGCGAAGGCGUCUAGCUAGAACGGAUCCGACGGUGAGGGACGAAGCCCUGGGUCGCAAACGGGAUUAGAUACCCCAGUAGUCC